Molecule: ribosomal RNA, 750 nt
Filed under: uncultured bacterium
Lineage: Bacteria
Description: bacterial SSU rRNA
Rfam family: Bacterial small subunit ribosomal RNA
Source: RNAcentral
AAAACAAAAACUGCAAGUCGAACGAGAGACCUUCGGGUCUCUAGUGGCGAACGGGUGAGUAACACGUAGGGAACCCGCCCGCGCACCGGGAAUACGCUCUGGAAACGGAGAACAAAUCCCGAUGUACAGGAAGGAGGCAUCUUCUUUCUGUGAAACAUCCUCUAGGGGAUGGGGCGCGGAUGGACCUGCGGUGCAUUAGUUGGUUGGCGGGGUAAAGGCCCACCAAGACGAUGAUGCAUAGCCGGCCUGAGAGGGCGGACGGCCACAUUGGGACUGAGACACGGCCCAGACUCCUGCGGGAGGCAGCAGUAGGGAAUUUUCGUCAAUGGGCGCAAGCCUGAACGAGCGAUGCCGCGUGAGUGAAGAAGGCCUUCGGGUCGUAAAGCUCUGUUGCGGGGGAAAAAAGGCAGCAUCAGGAAAUGGGUGCUGACUGAUGGUGCCCCGCCAGAAAGUCACGGCUAACUACGUGACAGCAGCCGCGGUAAUACGUAGGUGGCGAGCGUUAUCCGGAAUGAUUGGGCGUAAAGGGUGCGCAGGCGGUCCAGCAAGUCUGGAGUGAAACGCAUGAGCUCAACUCAUGCAUGGCUUUGGAAACUGGAGGACUGGAGAGCAGGAGAGGGCGGUGGAACUCCAUGUGUAGCGGUAAAAUGCGUAGAUAUAUGGAAGAACACCAGUGGCGAAGGCGGCCGCCUGGNCUGUUGCUGACGCUGAGGCACGAAAGCGUGGGGAGCAAAUAGGAUUAGAUACCCU